Molecule: long non-coding RNA, 2777 nt
Organism: Apis cerana (Asiatic honeybee)
Lineage: Eukaryota; Metazoa; Arthropoda; Insecta; Hymenoptera; Apidae
Source: RefSeq, a predicted model, not a curated record
GUUAAAUUUUAUGUCUCCCUCGUGUACGGAAAUUAUCUUCGAACGAUCGACCAUCCCGAGUUAAACGACACAUCCGUGAAACUAGUGAAAAUAAUUUAUCGCAUGGCAUUGCAUCUUCACCAAAUUAUUUUUUCGAAAUAUUUAUAUAGUUUUUAACCAUUUUGAAAUUUGAAUUAAUAUCGAAUUGCAUUUUAUCAUAAGUGAAAAUUUUUUCCUUAAUUAAUAAUAAUUGUUUAAUUAUAUAUCAGGAACAGGAAGAAACAUUAUUGCGAAAAAAAUUGGGAACCUUAGAUUUUAAGGGUAUUUUCUUUCGAACGAUAAAUAUUAAAAGGAUCUUUUAUAUAGAAGAUAGAUUGCUUUAUUGGCUGGAAACAGGUGAUUAUACAAUGCAUUCUUUACUGCCGAUGACCCAAGACCAAUGGCAAUGGUUCGUAAUUAACUGGCACCAUUAAUUAACUAGAGCGUUCCGGAUGUCGCUGACCUUGAUCGACUCGAGAUUGGCACUUCUUUCAAACGAUUCAUCGAGGAGUCGAUUAAAAAUUUAAUCGUCAAGCUUGCGAAUGAAUCGAUCAAACGUGUAUUUUGAUUUGUGGACUAAAGAAGUAUAUUUAUAUUUUGCAUAAUGCACGUGGCAGACAUCUGUUAUUAUUCUAUUAAGGCGUUGAUUGAGAGAUAGAUGUUGAUUGAUUACGAUAGGAUUUGAUUAUAUUAGAUUUAGUUUAUUUUAAAUAAAAGAGCAACUCAAAAUCUUUAAAGAACAUAUAUUGAUUAUUUUAAUUUUAUAGUAUAAUAUUUUGAAUGAAUGAUUUGAAAAUAAAAUACAAUGCAUAAGUGAAUAAUUUUGAAAUUGGUGAUGUUGAAAAUGCUAAAUUAUUGAAAAAGUCGCAAAAAUUUAUAAUAAUAAUUUGAAUAGUACUUCAAAAAAUUUGCUUAUUCAGAUUUUAGCAAUUUAUUAAAAACGAUGACUAUUUAAUAUACUCUAACAUAUAUUUAUCUAUUAUCAAAUCUAAUUAAUACGAUGAAAUAAUCGUAUGGAAAUUAUUUUUUUUUAUAGAACUUCAAAAUCUAUAUGAGUUCAAGAUUAAUUAAACAACAAGGUUAUUACGUAUUAUUUUAUAUAUUUUACAUGACAUUAUCUUUUCGUUUAUACUGAAAUAAUUUCAUGGUUUUGGAAACUUUAAAUCUGUAACACAUAAUUAACCAGUGAAUAGUUAACCUCUGCUCGAAAUAAUCGCAGGUACUGUUACUAGUUUGGCCUUCUGACAGACUAAUUUAUUUGCUCUUGUAGUUUAAUCGUGAUAUUAUUUCGUUAACAGCAUAAUUUAUAUUGUGGGCAAAAUGAGUUAUCAAAGAUUUUUUAAAUAAAAACUAAUAUAAAAUUAGAAAAAAUAAAAUAAAAAAAUUUUUUUAUAUUAUUAAAAGUUUUAAGCGAAUUUUUGAAACUUGUUUAAAUUCAAAUAAUGUAAUUGGAUAUCAAUAGAUAUCUAAAAUAGCAAUCGAAGAUGUAUGUUGGAAUGUCUAUAACAAUGAGAGAAAUUUUUAAUAAAUUAUUAAAUCAUGUACUUUCAUCUCCCACAUUUUGAUUAACGAUAUACAUUUCAGUAUACGAAAUACAAAAUUUCUCAAAAGUCUCUAAAAAUUUUAAAAUUUUUCAUUGCUCUACUUCUAUUUCAUUUUUAUUAUUACUUUUCAAUAGCGCAUGUUUCUUGAAAUUUAUAAACAAUAUAAUAUAAAUUCGUAAAUGAUAAAAAUAUAAAACAUUUCGUUACGUUCGAUUCAUAUUGGCAAAAUGGUUUCAAAUUUUUUGAAUACAGUUAAUCCAAACAAGUUAAAACUUUAUUUGAAAGAAUAUUUCGUAUCAUAUGAAUAAGUUCAUAUUAGCAAAAAUUAAUUUCAAAUUACAAGUUAUUCUCUUGAAUAACUUGAUUAAUCUGAAUGAGAAUUAUAGAAAUUUUUCGUUCGAGAAAUUAUUCGAAGAAGAAAUUAGCGGUCCUCGUGGCCCGAAAUAUCAGAUGCAAGGAACUCUCGGACAACUCUCUAGAAAAAGAAUUGCUUUCUCUUUUGAUCACGUUCGUCGACAAAAAGCAAACGAGGAAAAGGCGAUGUCCUCGCUCGCAGUCGAAAAAGCAUCGAGUGUGACGGGUUACUGUUAUUUCAAGCUGCAUGCCGUUGUUUGUUCUUUCCGUGUCUUAUUUGUAACUGGCUGUACACAUUGAGUGUUAUACACGAAACAUAGUGUAUCUCUUUUCGAGGUCUAACCGUCCGGUUUACAAUAGUCGCGUGCCACUAAUGUACUUUGACCGUUGCCAGAACUCCUAUUCCACUAAAUAUUAAGAGGAAACAGGCCAAUUAUUGUAGAAAAUCUAACUUUUAAAAGUUAAACAUGGAAUAUAAAACGUGUAAUUAAAUUAAUAUAUUUUUAGGAUAAACAGUUAAGUUUUUACUUAGCUAUGUAGAUCAUUGUAGUAAUAUAGAUAUGUAUAAAUUAUAGAAAAUACUUACAAAAAUUUUUUCCAAGUCAAUAUAAUUUAUUUUCGUUUUAGAAAAUAUAAUGAGAUUAAUAGAAUAAAGAUUUAAUUAUAAUGCAGUAUAAAAAAAAUUGUAAUAAAUAUAACAAGUAAAAUUCUAAAUUAUAAGCAACUAGAUAAUUUAAAUGAGAUAUAAAAUAUUUUUAUUUAUAAUAUAAAAAUUCUUAAUCAACUUAAUCAACAUUAAUAGCAAUUAGCAUUUGUUAAUCUUCGUAGAAUUAAAUAGACAAUAAAUAAAUAAAGAAUAAA